AGAGGAGCAUUCAUCUAAAGGCCCAGUAUGAUGCAAAAUACUUAUAAGUUCCUGCAAAACUAUUGGAGGCAGAGAAGAGGAGAGAGAGGAUCAAGAAAAGACUCAACAGAGAAACAGGUACCAAUAAAAUCGAAAGCCAAAAAACUGACUGCUGACUACAACAAUAACAACAAAAAGAUUAUGACAAAGGGACUGAGAGAAGACACGAGUAUUGUGUUACAGGAGUGUGAGUUACUUGAAAUAAUUCAUAUGGAGUAAAGCAGAGACUUCAAAAUCAAUAUGGGCAGAUUGCAGCACACUGAUCCUUUGAAAUGCCUUCUGUCCAUGGCUUUUUAAGCCUUUUAAACUCCUGUGCAGAAUGGGGAGAGCUUGCCAGCAGAAGAGAAAACAUUAGAGGUGAAUAAAACAUUCGGGGCUAUUUCCCCUUGCUCGUUCUUGGAUGUGAUUGCUCCAUUUGUAAAUGACUGAGCUAUUUAACUCCAACCACAAGGACCCUAGAAAUUAGAAUCUAGAGUGGAGAGACCCACCACCCAGAAGAAAGAUGUUUGUGGCUGAUGAAUUCUGAUGGUGGUACACCUCAUCCCCAGAGCCCCACUGUUUCCAUUUCUUCCAGAAGCUUGAAUUUACCAGACUCAAAUGAUAGCAAAGUUUAACAGCCUGGGAAAGUGGCUGGAGUUGAAUUCAGGCUCCACUACUUGAUUUCUUGGAUCAGCUCAGUUACCCCUGUGAGCCUCAAGAUCCUUAACUAAAAGUGAACAAUACCAUCUAUGUGCUGGCUAAAUGAUGGGGCUUUAAUGAACUAAUAGGUGACGUUCAUCAGCCAUAGAGACGUUCAUCGAUAUUCCGGUUCUCUUCUAGGUAAGAUUGAACUUUCUCACCCCUUUUGGAGUGAGAGUGGUGGCCAAGUGACUGACUUCGGCCAGUGAAGUGUGAGCAGAACGGACACAUGUCACUUCUGGGAGAGAGCCCUUCAGAGCCAGUGUUAGAGGCCCCAUCUCAUUGUCUGCUUCAGCAGCACCAGAGUCCUGGAGGGUGGCCUCUCAAUCUCCCAGGGCCCCAGAGUGAAUGUGACAUGCUGCUGAGCCCCCAGCUGACCUGCAAUAAACCUUUGUUGUUUUAAGCCACUGAUAUGUUUUGGGGCUGCUUGUAUCACCACAGAAGCUAGCCUGCCUGGAAUCGCAUGUAAGGUACUUAACACAUAGUGACCUGUCAGUUUGGAUGAGAGGUGAGCACAUGGGGGUAAUUCAUUUACUCAUUCAACAAAAAUUUGCUCAUCACCAUCUGUAUGCCACACACAGUGUAUCUCUUGGUGAGGGGGCAGAUUGAGUUCCUGACUUUACGGAGUUCACAGUUUUGCUGAGUCUGCUGCCAUUCCAAAACUGAGGAAUGCAACUCGAAAGGCUUCUCAUCCCUGAAGGACAGGAAAUGCUCUGAAGCUGGGCUGGCCAGAACUUUGUUUGUUUUUAUGUUCUCACUAAUUCCUGUCCCCCAGCCCCCACUUCACUUACAUUCAAAAACUCUCCAUGCAAGGACAGAAGGGCAAAGAAUAAUUAUCCCUGAGCAAGAACCAAAGAUCUGAUGGGUAUAGGGGAAGUAACCUGGUCGGUGCUGGUUCUGGGUACCCUAAAGGUGUGAUUCUAGCCUGGCAAUGGCACUGUUAUUGAUGCCUCUGCUCUGAGUUCCCUGACCCAGUAUGUCAAUACCGUAUGCAACACAAUGGCCCUCCUAUACGGAAAUCUAUAUAAGUUUCCUAUAGUUCACCCAUACAAAUGUACAUCCUGUCUAGCCCCUGCUAUCCUACUAGACUGAAAUAAAACCAAAUGUUUUCCAUUAUGACAUACCAUCCACCUGCUCUAGGUGCGCUAGACCCACCUGACCUUCAGUCUUAGGACAGCUUUCUGAAGAAGCCAAGAAGCAAUAAAUUAAAGGGCUAUUUAUUUCACUCCCUUCCUGGAAACAAAUGGUAUUUGGUGAAGCCUGGUGAUAAUCCACACUGGGUCCCUGGCAGAGGUCGGCAGAGGGUCUGAGCUCUAGUAUAGAGGUUCACUCUACAGAGGUGGGAAAGCAGAGAGGUCCCGGUUGCAUUUUUCCCAUUGCCACAUGAGAAGGAGUGUUGGUGGUGUUGGACUUUGAAAGUCAAGGCAGAACAUCCUUUCAUGUUGAAUCCAGCAGGAGAAACCUGGGCUAGGCAGGCAUAGAAACGCCCCAGCCCUGGCUGCUACCUAGCAGAGUGCUCUGGGGCUUCCAUGUUUUCUUCUUGGCCCCUAAUAAAGAUAGAAGGAAGAACUCUAAGGGAGUUGGUGAUUAGCUCCUUCUUCAUGCCCAGGAGAAUUCUGAAAUGAAAUAUGUAUUCUUGGUGUAGCUUUAAGCAAGGUUGAUGAUGUGGGACAAAAACAAGCCACAAAACAUCGACUUGGGAUUCACACUGCUUCAGGGUGAGUCCUGGCCUUGCCACUUACAAGAUACGUGGUCUAGAAUCAUUUGAUCUCUCUAAACCUCAGUUUUCUUACCUGUAAAAUGGUAAUAUUGACACCUAUUUUAUAGAUGGUGUUCAAAUAAUUAAGUGAUGUGAUAUAUUUUAAGCAUUUAGCAAUGUUUGGGGCAGAGAGGAUUUUUAAUAUGUGUUUGUGCUUUUUCCUUUGUCCUUCUAAAGCAGGUACAACUAAGCACUUGUUUUUGCCCUUGUAUCUCUGUAAAGAACAUCAGAAAGCAUCUUUGUGUGUUAUGCAUUUAACAUACAUCAUAUUUUUUUAUCCUCCCAAUAAUUUUAUGACUAAGUACUACAAUUAUGCUCAUCUUUUAAAGAAACUGAGAUUCAAAGAGAUUAAGCAACUUGAUUAAUGAUAACAAAGAUAGUACUUGUCACAGGUAAGACUUGCAUUCUAGUCAUUAAACCCAGAGCCCCUUUUCUUUUUCGUACUUGCUUUUUCUUUAAAAUUUGCAUGGAUCCUGACUUUGUAGUGGCCAGAGAUCAAGCUGCGUUCUCUCUGCCCCUGCCUACAAAUAUUCCUGUUUCCACUUCCAUUAGAAAUACCUUGACCUAAGGUCAACACUAGACAUGUUGAGCCUUUACUGAGGAAGGGGGAAUAGUUGUUAGGUUGAGUGUGACCCCCGUAUUCUGUAGGACUGGGACACCAUAAUUUAAUCCUGGUAGGGUCUCAGACAGGCAAUAAAAAAUAAAAAAUAAUGUAUGUCUGUUGUCUUUCUACCCCUCACCCCCAAACCUCAUCCCCAUCCCAGGGAUGCACACCUGCAUAGAAUGCACCCAUCCUUGCAAGGUCACCUCUGGGUGUCUGGGUUUCUCUACUGAAGGUCAUCGCUUGUCUCAAGUUCUGAAGACUGGAAGUCCAAGAUCAAGGUGCCAUCAGUGAUCAGUUCCGUGACUCCUGCCAGAGAAAUACAACACCAGAGAAGCUCUUGGUGCCUUCUUUGAUGGUUAUCCUGUUUGAAGAUAUCAUUUGAUUAUUGGGCUUUCAAAAAUGUGGCUCUCAUAAAUGACCAGAAUCCUAACCUUCUGUAAUGUGAAGAUGGGUUUUGAAGCUGAAAAAUGAAAUUUGAUCCCACUGAAGAAGUCAGGUAUGUCCUCGG
Molecule: long non-coding RNA, 3588 nt
Organism: Manis javanica (Malayan pangolin)
Lineage: Eukaryota; Metazoa; Chordata; Mammalia; Pholidota; Manidae
Source: RefSeq, a predicted model, not a curated record